UAAGCGCCGGUAAGGUGAUAUGAACCGUUAUAACCGGCGAUACCCGAAUGGGGAAACCCAGUGUGACUCGUCACACUAUCAUUAACUGAAUCCAUAGGUUAAUGAGGCGAACCGGGGGAACUGAAACAUCUAAGUACCCCGAGGAAAAGAAAUCAACCGAGAUUCCCCCAGUAGCGGCGAGCGAACGGGGAGGAGCCCAGAGCCUGAAUCAGCAUGUGUGUUAGUGGAAGCGUCUGGAAAGGCGCGCGAUACAGGGUGACAGCCCCGUACACAAAAGCGCAUGUGCUGUGAGCUCGAUGAGUAGGGCGGGACACGUGGUAUCCUGUCUGAAUAUGGGGGGACCAUCCUCCAAGGCUAAAUACUCCUGACUGACCGAUAGUGAACCAGUACCGUGAGGGAAAGGCGAAAAGAACCCCGGCGAGGGGAGUGAAAAAGAACCUGAAACCGU
This 448-nucleotide ribosomal RNA is filed under the name Salmonella enterica subsp. enterica serovar Heidelberg. RNAcentral describes it as "partial 23S ribosomal RNA". It matches the Rfam family "Bacterial large subunit ribosomal RNA", at positions 72 to 559 of the family's 2925-position model. RNAcentral also lists the same sequence under 2 other names. Lineage: Bacteria; Pseudomonadati; Pseudomonadota; Gammaproteobacteria; Enterobacterales; Enterobacteriaceae. The record is from RNAcentral.